RNAcentral lists this transfer RNA (94 nucleotides) under Armatimonadota bacterium. RNAcentral's name for it is "Armatimonadetes bacterium (groundwater metagenome) tRNA-Ser". It matches the Rfam family "tRNA". From Rfam's summary of the family: Transfer RNA (tRNA) molecules are approximately 80 nucleotides in length. Their secondary structure includes four short double-helical elements and three loops (D, anti-codon, and T loops). Lineage: Bacteria; Bacillati; Armatimonadota. The record is from RNAcentral.
GGAGGGGUGGGUGAGCGGUUGAAACCACGCGCCUGGAGAGCGCGUAGGCGGGCUAAAACCUGUCUCGUGGGUUCAAAUCCCACCCCCUCCGCCA